Long non-coding RNA from Homo sapiens (human), 1909 nucleotides. Lineage: Eukaryota; Metazoa; Chordata; Mammalia; Primates; Hominidae. The record is from Ensembl.
AUAUAAAACUCUUCAGAACAGCACAGGGUGAUUUGGGUAUAGCUAUCUCCAGAUACCUUGGCCCUUGUUCUUGGAGUUUUAGGAAUUCAGAGAAAGGAAGAAAGGAUCUGAAGGACCUAGUGAAGACUCUCCUUGAGGCCACUCAUUUCAGGGAAGCGAAGGGAAGAGGGUGGGAGAAGUAGCUUUUGUUGUGUACCCAACAGACCAGAAAUCUAUAAUACAAUAUCUUUUUCAAGCCUCAUGAUUGGCUGAGUUUUACAAAUGAGGAAAUUAAGGACAGAGAAGUAAAGUAAGUCAUCCAAGGUCACACAGCAAGGAGGUGGCAGAGCCAAGAAUCGACCCAGGCGGGUCAGAUUCAAGCUUGCGUUCCUGUCACUAGGCAUAGGACAGGAAGUGGGGUGGUAAGAUGUCACCCCUAGGCCAAGGGGGCAGUGGUUUAAAUGGGGGCUCAGGUCAGAAAAGCAUCCUAUCUAUGGUAAUGCGGGAACCUGGCUUUGUUCUGAUACUGAACUCAGAUCUGAGACGCCACCCAGGUGUAUGUUAUAUGGGUUCUGAGAGGUCCAGCAGCAAGCAGGGCAGUUGGGCCCACCCCAGAGCAGCUGUACGCCCUUGGAGAUGGCCUGAAAUUGGCCAAGCUCUGGAAUGAGGGUCUGGGCAUUGCUCCCAGCAUCUGACCUUGGAAGGAAGCAGAAGCAGAGCUGUGGUUUUGAAGAUUUUCCUUCCCCAACGGAGACCCAUUGCAGCCUGUUAUGAAGGACCCAGCACAGGUAGAGAGAGCCAACAAGGUGGAAUGGGGGGCUCUGGCUUGGUGAGAUGGGGGAGGAGAAAGAGGGGUCACUCCUGCCAAGCUGACCUCAGCUGGGUAAUGUGAUCAGCCUGUCAUGGUUCUGAGCCCUGAUUUGGGAAGAACAAAGAGGCCAGGCCCCUCUGCCUCCUCUAGCCCAGGAAUGCAGCUGGGGGCCAGGCCGUGACCAAUGGGGAAUGCAGGUUGGGAGCGCAGCGAAUGCAGUUUGUAGAGCAAGGCUUUCAUGCACUGAUGGGAGCCCCACUCACAAAGCCAGGCUGACAUGCCCCCGCGCUUCCAACUUUGAUAUCCCAGCCCCGCCUUGGGGGAGCCGCACAUCCCCAAGCUGUCUGUGCCCAACUGCCCCGCUGUGGCCCUCGAGUGAUGAUGGGGUGAAGAGUGGAGAGCUCAGAUCCCAACUCCCCUCAACCCCACCAGGAUUCCUAGACACCAACAUCUCCUUGUCCGUCUCUCUCCACCUCGGGAUGUCUGAGGAAUGGACAGGGGGAAACAGCCUCCAGCUCCUGAGGGCUGAGAGAGAUGGAUGGAGAGACAGAAAGAUGGACCACGAGAGAGGCCGCGGGCCUCAGGCAGCCCCUGCUCUGAGCAGGUCACAGAAACUCCUUGAGGCCACCCACUCCAGGGAAAUGAAUAAUGUUAGAGGUGGGGGUUUCACUCCUGGCUUGGACAUCUGAAUACUUUCUGCAUUCCAAAGCUGCUAGCUCCCCUUCUCCAGCCCCAGUCUCUUUUCCCACUGGCCGAUUCACUCAGUGUGGGGUCCUUCAGGACUGCCCUUUUCUGCCUUCUCAAUUAUCCACUGCCCCCUCCCUCCUGGUGUCUCUGUGCUCCUGCGCUUCCUCUCCUCCUGGGUGUUAAUAAUGACAGUGCUUUACAGUUUACAAAGCACAAUCACCUGCAGUAACUCGUUUGAUUCUUAUAGGAGCCCUGUGCAGCAGGGACUCUGAUCCUCAUUGCAUGCAGGAAGAGAAGAAGGAAGAGGAGGUGGAGGCUUGAUGAGGAGGUGGUGGCCUGUGAUGGCAAGAGUGAGAUGGGGAGAAUGUCCAGCGGGAGAAGUAAGGGCCAGGAGCUUGAAGGAACUGUGAAAUAAAGAUAUUUCACCUUGAA